Molecule: ribosomal RNA, 493 nt
Filed under: uncultured bacterium
Lineage: Bacteria
Description: partial 16S ribosomal RNA
Rfam family: Bacterial small subunit ribosomal RNA
Source: RNAcentral
GACGAACGCUGGCGGCGUGCUUAACACAUGCAAGUCGAACGGUGAAGCGCCUUCCUUUUUGGUGGGUGUGGAUGAGUGGCGAACGGGUGAGUAACACGUGAGUAACCUGCCCCCUUCUUCUGGAUAACCGCAUGAAAGUGUGGCUAAUACGGGAUAUUCUGGGUCUGUCGCAUGAUGGGUCUGGGAAAGAUAUUGUUUCGGUGGGGGAUGGGCUCGCGGCCUAGCAGCUUGUUGGUGGGGUGAUUGCCUACCGAGGCGGUGACGGGUAGCCGGCCUGAGAGGGUGGACGGUCACACUGGGACUGAGACACGGCCCAGACUCCUACGGGAGGCAGCAGUGGGGAAUAUUGCACAAUGGGCGCAAGCCUGAUGCAGCGACGCCGCGUGAGGGAUGGAGGCCUUCGGGUUGUGAACCUCUUUCGCCAGUGAAGCAGGCCUGCCUCGUUUGUGGGUGGGUUGACGGUAGCUGGAGAAGAAGCGCCGGCGAACUACGU